CCUACGGGAGGCUGCAGUGGGGAAUAUUGCACAAUGGGGGAAACCCGGAUGAAGAAACGCCGCGUGAGCGAAGAAGGCCUUCGGGUCGUAAAGCCCUGUCCUAAGGGAGGAAAAAUGACGGUACUUUAGGAGGAAGCCCCGGCUAACUACGUGCCAGCAGCCGCGGUAAUACGUAGGGGGCGAGCGUUAUCCGGAAUCACUGGGCGUAAAGGGUGCGUAGGCGGCCAAUUAAGCCAGGGGUGAAAGGCUACGGCUCAACCGUAGUAAGCCUUUGGAACUGAAUGGCUUGAGUGCAGGAGAGGAGAGUGGAAUUCCUAGUGUAGCGGUGAAAUGCGUAGAUAUUAGGAGGAACACCAGUGGCGAAGGCGACUCUCUGGACUGUAACUGACGCUGAGGCACGAAAGCGUGGGGAGCAAACAGGAUUAGAUACCCCAGUAGUC
This 440-nucleotide ribosomal RNA is filed under the name uncultured bacterium. RNAcentral describes it as "bacterial SSU rRNA". It matches the Rfam family "Bacterial small subunit ribosomal RNA", at positions 338 to 795 of the family's 1533-position model. The record is from RNAcentral.